UUACUAUUUUUCAGAAGAGUGGUGGAACUGGGAGGUCAGUGUCAGAGACUGUGCUGACAGAAAAUCCUGGCUCCUGGUCCUGGAGGAUGAGGCUGAAGCAGUGAGAACCGAGGACUUGGUCCAUGAAGGGAUGUGAAGAGAUGAGUUCUUCUGGAUUGGGUACAAGUAUAACACAACCCAGUGACAGUGGACAUGGUUGAACAACUCUGGAUUCUCCGGAUACAGGACCCGGAGCAGCCAUACCCUUAAACUCCGGGUUUCAGGACCAGUUUGCCUUCACGUGGGAAGGGUGACAAUGGACUUUCCAAGUUCUCUCCCAAAGAUAUGUCCAUAGCCCCACCAUUUGCCGUAAGUUGGUGGCCAGAGAUUUUGAAAGGUUCCAUUCCAUAGUGAUGCACCAUGGGUGCGUUAUAUUGUUGACAUCAUGCUAACUGCAGACAGCACUUCUGUGUUUACAGGAUGUAUCGAGCGUCCUCAUGGCACACCUGCGAACUCGAGGAUGGGAGGUAAAACCUGGACCAAAUCCAGGGGGCCGGAACAUCGGUCAAGUUUCUGGGGGUUGUCUGGUCUGGUAAGACGCGGGUGAUGCCACAGGUUGUCAUUGAUAAAAUACAACAAUAUCCGAUCCCUACAACUGUCAAA
Long non-coding RNA from Ornithorhynchus anatinus (platypus), 642 nucleotides. RefSeq lists it as uncharacterized. The record is from RefSeq and is a predicted model, not a curated record. Lineage: Eukaryota; Metazoa; Chordata; Mammalia; Monotremata; Ornithorhynchidae. The transcript has 3 exons.